UUCAAACCAAGCAUUUAAAUUCAUUAACUUUUAUCAACAUACAUUAACUUUCAACUAACAUUUAAAUUCCAUUUCAAACUUAACUACCAUUCAUUUCCAUUUCCAAAUUUCCAAAUUUACAUUCAUAACAUUUCAAAUUAAGAUUUCACAAAAAAAAACAUUUCAAAUUGAUCUUCAAAACCAUCUCAUUCUGUAAAAUCAUUCCAUAGCCAAGCUUGAUUUCGCCUUCCCGAAUUGAAUCCCGCACAAAUAAUUUCCAAUAUAUAAUUAAACAUUGAACAAAGCAUAUCAUAUUAAAUAAAAACUAACAAUUAAUCAUAAUUUCGGUUUUCAUAAUAAUGCCUUCAUCAACCAUUCGAAAACAUGACUAGUGCACCAAAACUAGGAACCAAAAGACUUCAAAGUUGCAAAUAAAGUUCUAUGUAAUUACCUUACCACCAAGCUUGUGGAUUUUUGUGUUACAUUGUUGCUACCCCUUUCAAUAGGAUGGAUGCUUGUGGACUUCAUCAUUCAACAAUGUAUGAAUCCCUAGCUCUAUGACCUACUGUCAGAAUCAAACAGAGAGAGCAAUUUGGCAUGAUCAUUACCAUCAUUUUCAUAUAGAUUUAACCAUGUUAGUAGAGUUCCUAAUUUGCUAGCAGCAUGUAACAGGCACAACAGUUAGACCAACUCACUUCAGAUCCAUAAUGAGAUCAAUUAACAACCAAAAGCUAAUCCUACAUUCGAUAAUUAAAUUCAUUUAAUUCCCAAGCAUC
Molecule: long non-coding RNA, 755 nt
Filed under: Lathyrus oleraceus (garden pea)
Lineage: Eukaryota; Viridiplantae; Streptophyta; Magnoliopsida; Fabales; Fabaceae
Description: Pisum sativum (pea) long non-coding RNA (PSAT_LNC033952)
Source: RNAcentral